Molecule: long non-coding RNA, 373 nt
Filed under: Mytilus galloprovincialis (Mediterranean mussel)
Lineage: Eukaryota; Metazoa; Mollusca; Bivalvia; Mytilida; Mytilidae
Source: RNAcentral
GGUUGCCUAAUUUCCAAGAAAACGUGACGAUAAUUUACAAUAUACAUUAAAGUCAUAUGAAACGAGUGACUGGUGGAAAAUAAUGUUUAUCCAAUUCUUAAACCAAUGCAUGUAUAGUCAAUUUAUUUCUCUCGGUUUAUUAGUAAAGCAGCUUAUCAGUUGUCGUGUUUGCAGCCGUAGAUUACCGAUUUUCACCUUAUUGUAAACAAUCAACAAAGAAACAUGGAUAUUGAUUAUGUACGUAUAUAAAAUGUACAAUGAUCAAAUAGUUUAUUUCAAUGACAGAUUUAUACUUAUUGGCAUCAUCGGAUUUAUACGAGAAAGGCCAAGACAAGUUCACUGCAUACAGAAAACAUAUCGGCGAAUUGUUAAC